GACGAACGCUGGCGGCGGGCUUAACACAUGCAAGUCGAACGAGAUGCUCCCUUCGGGGAGUGGAAAGUGGCGAACGGGUGAGUAACGCGUAGGCAACUUACCCCCAGGCGGGGAACAACCACGGGAAACCGUGGCUAAUACCGCAUAAUGUCCAUCCCCUGCAUAGGGGUUGGAUUAAAGGCUUCGGCCACCUGGGGAUAGGCCUGCGUCGGAUUAGCUUGUUGGUGAGGUAACGGCUCACCAAGGCAACGAUCCGUAGCUGGUCUGAGAGGAUGAUCAGCCACACUGGCACUGAGACACGGGCCAGACUCCUACGGGAGGCAGCAGUGAGGAAUCUUGCGCAAUGGACGAAAGUCUGACGCAGCCACGCCGCGUGCAGGAAGACACCCCUCAGGGGCGUAAACUGCUUUUAUACGGGAAGAACACCCUACUCGGUAGGGUCUGACGGUACCGUACGAAUAAGGACCGGCUAACUCCGUGCCAGCAGCCGCGGUAAUACGGAGGGUCCAAGCGUUGUCCGGAAUCACUGGGUUGUAAGGGUGUGUAGGCCGGCCUACAAGUCAGAGGUGAAAGCCCCCGGCCUAACCGGGGAACUGCCUUUGAUACUGUAGNUCUUGARUCCUGGAGAGGUCACU
This 635-nucleotide ribosomal RNA is filed under the name uncultured Rhodothermus sp. RNAcentral describes it as "bacterial SSU rRNA". It matches the Rfam family "Bacterial small subunit ribosomal RNA", at positions 28 to 662 of the family's 1533-position model. Lineage: Bacteria; Pseudomonadati; Rhodothermota; Rhodothermia; Rhodothermales; Rhodothermaceae. The record is from RNAcentral.